Molecule: ribosomal RNA, 460 nt
Filed under: uncultured bacterium
Lineage: Bacteria
Description: partial 16S ribosomal RNA
Rfam family: Bacterial small subunit ribosomal RNA
Source: RNAcentral
CCUACGGGCGGCAGCAGUGAGGAAUAUUGGUCAAUGGACGAGAGUCUGAACCAGCCAAGUAGCGUGAAGGAUGACUGCCCUAUGGGUUGUAAACUUCUUUUAUAUGGGAAUAAAAUGUUCCACGUGUGGGAUUUUGUAUGUACCAUAUGAAUAAGGAUCGGCUAACUCCGUGCCAGCAGCCGCGGUAAUACGGAGGAUCCGAGCGUUAUCCGGAUUGAUUGGGUUUAAAGGGAGCGUAGAUGGGUUGUUAAGUCAGUUGUGAAAGUUUGCGGCUCAACCGUAAAAUUGCAAUUGAUACUGGCAGACUUGAGUACAGUUGAGGUAGGCGGAAUUCGUGGUGUAGCGGUGAAAUGCUUAGAUAUCACGAAGAACCCCGAUUGCGAAGGCAGCUUACUAAACUGUGACUGACAUUGAUGCUCGAAAGUGUGGGUAUCAAACAGGAUUAGAUACCCUUGUAGUC